This 1097-nucleotide ribosomal RNA is filed under the name fungal sp. SV603C. Its description in RNAcentral is "eukaryotic LSU rRNA". The stretch from base 512 to 1097 matches the Rfam family "Eukaryotic large subunit ribosomal RNA", at positions 1 to 599 of the family's 3401-position model. The record is from RNAcentral. Lineage: Eukaryota; Fungi.
UUACUGAGUUACAAACUCCAAACCCUUCUGUGGACUGUCGAAACGUUGCCUCGGCGGGCUCGCCCGCCGGUGGCCCCAAACCAAACUCUUUUAGAACGUACUUCUGAGUGGCGCAGACAAAAUAAAGUCAAAACUUUCAGCAACGGAUCUCUUGGCUCUGGCAUCGAUGAAGAACGCAGCGAAAUGCGAUAAGUAAUGUGAAUUGCAGAAUUCAGCGAAUCAUCGAAUCUUUGAACGCACAUUGCGCCCGCUGGUAUUCCGGCGGGCAUGCCUGUUCGAGCGUCAUCAAAACCCCUCCGGCCGACGUCCUCCCUUCGGGGGGGAAACCGUAUGGCCGGGUGUUGGGACACCGCCGGACCCUCCAACGGUCCCGCGGGCCCCAAAAUCGAGUGGCGGACGCCCCCGAGCCUCCCAGCGCAGUAGCUUCGGUCUCGCUGACGGUGGACGGGAGCGGUGCCUGCCUCGCUCGUGGAAAAGCCUCCGGGCCUACCACGAACCCCCCCAACAAGUUUGACCUCGGAUCAGGUAGGACUACCCGCUGAACUUAAGCAUAUCAAUAAGCGGAGGAAAAGAAACCAACAGGGAUUGCCUCAGUAACGGCGAGUGAAGCGGCAACAGCUCAAAUUUGAAAUCUGGCUUCGGCCCGAGUUGUAAUUUGUAGAGGAUGCUUCUGGCGACGUGCCUUCCGAGUCCCCUGGAACGGGGCGCCGGAGAGGGUGAGAGCCCCGUACGGUUGGACGCCGAGCCUGUGUGAAGCUCCUUCGACGAGUCGAGUAGUUUGGGAAUGCUGCUCUAAAUGGGAGGUAAAUUCCUUCUAAAGCUAAAUACCGGCCAGAGACCGAUAGCGCACAAGUAGAGUGAUCGAAAGAUGAAAAGCACUUUGGAAAGAGGGUUAAAAAGUACGUGAAAUUGCUGAAAGGGAAGCGCUUGCGACCAGACUCGCGCCGGACGGAUCAUCCAGCGUUCUCGCUGGUGCACUUCGCCCGGCCCGGGCCAGCAUCGGUUCUGACGGGGGGAUAAAAGCCUGGGAAACGUAGCUCUCCUCGGAGAGUGUUAUAGUCCCUUGCCCAAUGUCCCCGCCGGGACCGAGGACCGCG